UCAGAUAAACCAUCUGAGAAAAUAAAAGUGAAAGCUGCUCAUGUCCUAUAAAAGGGAGUGUGCAGAGCCACAAACUCAAUGGAAAGGACUGAAGGGGAAACAUUUAUGAUAAUUUUUUUUAUUGGAGUCACUCUUUCCAGAGCCACAUAAGCAAAGAUCCCUUUCACCAUCAUCUUACACACUGGACCUUUAAGUUACAAUCUGAUUGCAUCUUCCUCCACUUGGCUUAAUUCCUGCAUUAACAUGUAGUCUGACUCUUCUACUUUACAGCAAUGGAAAAACG
This is a long non-coding RNA of Pleuronectes platessa (European plaice), 283 nucleotides long. RefSeq lists it as uncharacterized. The record is from RefSeq and is a predicted model, not a curated record. The transcript is spliced from 3 exons. Lineage: Eukaryota; Metazoa; Chordata; Actinopteri; Pleuronectiformes; Pleuronectidae.